GACGGAGGAUGCAAGCGUUGUCCGGAAUCAUUGGGCGUAAAGAGUUCGUAGGCGGCCUGUCAAGUCCGGUGUUAAAGGCUAUGGCUUAACCAUAGUUCGGCGCUGGAAACUGACAAGCUGGAGUCUAGCAGAGGCAAGGGGAAUUCCCAGUGUAGCGGUGAAAUGCGUAGAUAUUGGGAGGAACACCAGUGGCGAAAGCGCCUUGCUGGGCUAGUACUGACGCUGAGGAACGAAAGCCAGGGGAG
This 245-nucleotide ribosomal RNA is filed under the name uncultured bacterium. RNAcentral describes it as "partial 16S ribosomal RNA". It matches the Rfam family "Bacterial small subunit ribosomal RNA", at positions 524 to 768 of the family's 1533-position model. The record is from RNAcentral.